Long non-coding RNA from Dromaius novaehollandiae (emu), 3675 nucleotides. RefSeq lists it as uncharacterized. The record is from RefSeq and is a predicted model, not a curated record. NCBI's taxonomy places the organism in Eukaryota, Metazoa, Chordata, Aves, Casuariiformes, Dromaiidae. The transcript has 4 exons.
AUUUCUAGCGUUGAUGUGCUGUUUAAGAAAAGAGCAGCCUUCGUACAGGAAUAGAUCAGCCAUGACUCGGUCCGAAAUCUGAACGGUCCUUGCUGCGGUUUAGCGUCUACAUCCGUAAAAAAGGUAUUGGCUCUUUUAAGAAACCUUCUUGCAAAGUGCUUUGCUCCACAGUGGUACAAAUAUGCUCCACUUGUACACUUUUGUUGUUGUUUCGUGUAUUUUAUAUCCUUCCCCCCUUUUUUUCUUUUAAAAUAACAGGUAAAAAAAGAAUACGAGAGAGGUCCUGUGGGACUGUGCGGUUCUCGAGGUGCUGCAGAGCUUUUUGCGUGGGUCAGUGAAAUCCUCUGGUGAUUCAUGGCAGCAGGUGGAAAGCAAUGGUCAGGACGGCUCCCUUCUGUGCUCGUGCUUAGCAAGAGAUGACAAGCAAUCUCCCCAGUUCUUCCCGAGAAUCAAAGGCGGAUGAGUUAACGGAGGGAAAGCCGAGCGCUUUACGCCGUCCAGAAGGAGCAAAGCGGGAGCGAGUUGCACCUUCUCCCAGCAAGGAAGGAGAAAAGCCACCACCUCGCAGAAAAAACGUCCCGAACCCUGCAAAUGUGCAUCAUUUAUCAAGAAAACUGUAGAGAGGAAGUUCUGACCUGAGACUUCGCUAGGGUGGUGAUGUACUGCAAAAUGUGUCAUCCCUGCGUGUUUGUAAGAGCCACUACAAUUUGCGUAGAGGUGUGAUAGUGCCUGAAAUGAGGAAAACAACUACAACGAUGCCUGAUCAUAGGUAGGCAAUAUGACAAACCAGGCUAUAAAUACUCCUUUGUGAAGUUCUUUGCAUAUUUAUACCCUAGGUACAGAUCUAUUCCUUUUAAUUUGGGACCUCAUUGCUUGCCUGAGUUCUAUUAAUUCUGCGAAGUUAACCAUUUGGGGCCAAAUUCAGCCUGUACCGCUUAACUGAAGCUUUGUAGCUAAUGACAUAAUAAGCCUCUUUUUAUUGGUAUAUGCAAGUUCUUUCUCUUUCUUUAUGCACUGUGGUGAACAACAGGGACUUACUGUGUUAUUUCUUCCGGACAACGUGUAGCAUCGGUAGGUAGCAACUUGCGCGCGUGCUUUGCGUCCUGGCACAGCAACAUGGGGCUAUGGUCAAACUCGCUUCGGAGACCUUCCUCCUUAAGACCUGUUACCUGCCGCAUAUCUGGAUAUGCAAGAACUGGCUCAGUGGACUCUGAUUUGAAACCUUUACUCUCCAUUUUCUAACAGUAAGCAGUCAGCUAAUAUCACAAAUUUGCAGAAAUCUUCCAUAUAUUUCCACACCAAACCAAGAAUUUAAUAAGCAAUUAAUGGCUGAAAUGAUGCAUAGCUAUCUGCAAUAACUAUUUAUAGACAUUGCAAAAAAAUCAGUUCAGAAGGAGAAUGAAGUUGAGCUGGCCAGAUAUUUCUAAAUGGUCCUGUUAAAAAAAAUAAAAAGCUAGUGAGAGAUAUUCUUUGUACGAGGUCCGGAGUGAUAGUGAAAAGGGCAAGCUGUCAUUUUUUAGAGUUUACUUUUCCCACUCCCUCUUCAGAAGUUUUGACACGUGAGUGGGUCAUGAAUGCAGACACAGGUAAGGAUUUUGGAAGCUGAGUGGAUAAUCUGCCAGUGAAGCUGAAGUCCUGGUGAUGCUGAGCACCAAGCCAGCUUUCCCACGGCGUGCCCAACAGCCAUCUCUUGCUGGAGACCCCAUGGGAGUUCUGUAGCUUCAAACACUCCUUCAGAAACUGGUGCAAUCAAUUGAGAGAGACAAAUACCAGAGGAGAUCUAACCCGUCCCUUGGCAGCGCUUCAGACGCUCCCGGUAGAGAAGAAAUCAUCUCUGUGCGCGGCUGCCAGUCUUUGGGGAAGAUUCCCCCGGUGAGCCAACUUUUCACGUCCUUUAAUGGAAGAGGGGGAGUUCGCUUGGCAGCCAGGUUGCCAGCCUUGGCAGAUGCUGGAAGCGAUGCUAAACAGAGCGGUUUUGUUUUCCUGCCCUCAAGGCAGCCCACAGGCGAUGCCGUGAGGAAGCAAUCCUGGUUCGGCAUGGCCAAGGCACACCCACCGCGGUCUUGCACAGCACAUAAAGCUGAAUGUGCUCGGUACCGGUUCGCUCGUGCUGAUGGUUAACAGCAGGUCUGUUUUCUGCAGCUGACGGGACUCCUGGGAAAGUAUCUGGGCUCUCCGCUGGUCAGAAGAUCAGGUGGGAGCUCUGGAGGGAUCUCGAAUUUACUGUGCUAACCGGUCGCUGGAGCGUAGCACCAACCUGCAAGAACGUGCAAUGACAUUUGCCAUGUCGGUGAUAUCAUGGGUCCCACCUGGAUCCUCUGCAACAAACACAUGGGUCAGAGAGAGCAGUCCUGUCCAAAACGGUUUCCCCACGUAAGUCUUUACUCAGUCAUUUCAUUGGUGGCCCUGCAAGACGGCCCAAAGCCUUUGCAUAGUCUCCAUCUCACAUCUUGGCCUUUUUCAGGUAUUUCUGCACCUAGAAAACACUCCAAGUGCUCUGUUGGAAUAUUGUUAUGAAGCAGCUCCUCAUCCUCAUGUUUUACCUUAUUUCUUGUCCUGGUAGCCCUUCCUUUCCCUGUUUCCCCUUCUUGCCACGUUUCUUCCCCUCCGGCUGUCGCCCAGCGUGCCGGGUGAGCUGGCCGUGAGCAGGACCGGGCACCUGCGUCCCCCAGCUCUCGCUCGGCACAGGAGGAUUCCCUGUGCCCCUUUUAAUAAGGACGCAAAUGGUAGUCUCUAAAGUGCAGACGCAGUGAUUAUUUCCCAAUAGCGGGGAGGAAAAUUACAGUGUGGAUGCUAUCAAUUCCCACACUCCAGGACUGAGCAUCAGCUGGGGCUGCGAGGAAGAAUUCGGACCUGGCCAGGUGCUUUCUGGAAUUUUUCACUGUCCCUUGGACUAUUCUUGGUUGGUCUUGUAGUUAUUUUUAAACAUUUAGCCAGAUUAUGAGUUAAGGAAGCUUGCCGUAGGUGUUUGCAGGCUCAAAAGUAGACAGAGGGUUUCAAUUUGUUUUGGCUUGAGUUUAACCAGUAUAAGCAAAACACAUUUUUCUUCCUUUACAGCUGAAAAAGAGUUGAAGUCCAGGAAGGGUGCACCUUGGCAACAAAUCCACCAUCUCAUAAAUCUUUCCUGAUCUUGCUUGGAAAAUUUUUAAUAGCUUUGAAAUACGUUUUAUUGUUACAAAAUUGCCAAAGGUAUGCGUUUUCCUCUCAUCACUCAGACUUUGCUCCAUGAGAUAUAGUGGUAGCUUAUACCUCUAAUUUAUAGACACGCUGUUGAAAAGCAGCAAGCCUUUCAUUUUUUUCUGUUUGUCAAAAAUGGUGGAAACCACCCACAGAUAAUUACAAAUGGAUCAUUAAGGUGUGGUGUGCUAUAUAUUCACAUUCACAUCUUCCACUGUCCUCACUGAGGCUUCUCAGUACUGACUGAUUCUUCUGGCCCUUCUGCAGGAUGUUUGCAGUCGGGGAAAUGUUUAGAUUUUGAAAACAAAGACAAGGUGUUUAAAGUAAAUUGGCCAGAAAGGUUUGGAAUGCCAUUAUAUACAAUGGGAAUGCUAAAUAACUCUUAUUGUAGGUGUUUUAUAGCUAAAGGCAAUAUUAUCUAGCAGACCUAUUAAGUACUUGUUGAUGUUAAUUGCUAUGGUCUUUAAUGCUACUUGUAUUUCCUGAGAGUUCAUUAAA